This 500-nucleotide ribosomal RNA is filed under the name uncultured Acidobacteriota bacterium. Its description in RNAcentral is "bacterial SSU rRNA". It matches the Rfam family "Bacterial small subunit ribosomal RNA", at positions 28 to 507 of the family's 1533-position model. The record is from RNAcentral. Lineage: Bacteria; Pseudomonadati; Acidobacteriota.
AAUCAACGCUGGCGGCGUGCCUAACACAUGCAAGUCGAACGCGAAAGGGGCUUCGGCCCUGAGUAGAGUGGCAGACGGGUGAGUAACGCGUGGGUGACCUACCCUCGAGCGGGGGAUAACGUCCCGAAAGGGACGCUAAUACCGCAUGACAUCCCGCCCUUGGACGGGUGGUGAUCAAAGCUGGGGAUCGCAAGACCUGGCACUUGAGGAGGGGCCCGCGUCCGAUUAGCUAGUUGGUGGGGUAAUGGCUCACCAAGGCUUCGAUCGGUAGCCGGCCUGAGAGGGCGGACGGCCACACUGGGACUGAGACACGGCCCAGACUCCUACGGGAGGCAGCAGUGGGGAAUUGUUCGCAAUGGGCGCAAGCCUGACGACGCAACGCCGCGUGGAGGAUGAAGAUUUUCGGAUCGUAAACUCCUGUCGAAUGGGACGAAUGGCCCGGCCGUGAAUAACGGCUGGGAAUGACGGUACCGUGAGAGGAAGCCCCGGCUAACUCCGUG